GGAUGUGAGGGCGAUCUGGCUGCGACAUCUGUCACCCCAUUGAUCGCCAGGGUUGAUUCUGCUGAUCUGGCUAGCUAGGCGGGUGUCCCCUUCCUCCCUCACCGCUCCAUGUGCGUCCCUCCCGAAGCUGCGCGCUCGGUCGAAGAGAACGACCUUCCCCGAUAGAGGAGAGGACCGUUCUUCGGUCAAGGGUAUAUGAGUAGCUGCGCUCCCCUGCUAGAACCUCCAAACAAGCUCUCAAGAGUCUAAAAGUCUCUUAUGCCUUCUUUCCCUCAAUCUUU
This 281-nucleotide small RNA is filed under the name Neogale vison (American mink). RNAcentral describes it as "Neovison vison (American mink) 7SK RNA (ENSNVIG00000009331.1)". It matches the Rfam family "7SK RNA", at positions 1 to 292 of the family's 331-position model. From Rfam's summary of the family: 7SK was discovered as an abundant small nuclear RNA in the mid-70s but a possible function has only recently been suggested. Two independent studies have found that 7SK RNA binds the CDK9/cyclin T complex (known as elongation factor P-TEFb). P-TEFb activates transcription by phosphorylating the C-terminal domain of RNA polymerase II. Lineage: Eukaryota; Metazoa; Chordata; Mammalia; Carnivora; Mustelidae. The record is from RNAcentral.